This 467-nucleotide ribosomal RNA is filed under the name uncultured bacterium. RNAcentral's name for it is "partial 16S ribosomal RNA". It matches the Rfam family "Bacterial small subunit ribosomal RNA", at positions 28 to 506 of the family's 1533-position model. The record is from RNAcentral.
GACGAACGCUGGCGGCGUGCUUAACACAUGCAAGUCGAACGGAAAGGCCCUGCUUUUGUGGGGUGCUCGAGUGGCGAACGGGUGAGUAACACGUGAGUAACCUGCCCUUGACUUUGGGAUAACUUCAGGAAACUGGGGCUAAUACCGGAUAGGAGCUCCUGCUGCAUGGUGGGGGUUGGAAAGUUUCGGCGGUUGGGGAUGGACUCGCGGCUUAUCAGCUUGUUGGUGGGGUAGUGGCUUACCAAGGCUUUGACGGGUAGCCGGCCUGAGAGGGUGACCGGCCACAUUGGGACUGAGAUACGGCCCAGACUCCUACGGGAGGCAGCAGGGGGGAAUAUUGCACAAUGGGCGGAAGCCUGAUGCAGCAACGCCGCGUGCGGGAUGACGGCCUUCGGGUUGUAAACCGCUUUCGCCUGUGACGAAGCGUGAGUGACGGGAAUGGGUAAAGAAGCACCGGCGAACUACGU